Molecule: ribosomal RNA, 460 nt
Filed under: uncultured bacterium
Lineage: Bacteria
Description: partial 16S ribosomal RNA
Rfam family: Bacterial small subunit ribosomal RNA
Source: RNAcentral
CCUACGGGAGGCAGCAGUGAGGAAUAUUGGUCAAUGGGCGUAAGCCUGAACCAGCCAAGUCGCGUGAGGGAUGAAGGUUCUAUGGAUCGUAAACCUCUUUUAUAAGGGAAUAAAGUGUGGGACGUGUCCUAUUUUGUAUGUACCUUAUGAAUAAGGAUCGGCUAACUCCGUGCCAGCAGCCGCGGUAAUACGGAGGAUCCGAGCGUUAUACGGAUUUAUUGGGUUUAAAGGGUGCGUAGGCGGCCUUUUAAGUCAGCGGUGAAAGUCUGUGGAUCAACCAUAGAAUUGGCGUUGAAACUGGGGGGCUUGAGUAUGUUUGAGGCAGGCGGAAGGCGUGGUGUAGCGGUGAAAUGCUUAGAUAGCACGCAGAACCCCGAUUGCGAAGGCAGCCUGCCAAGCCAUGACUGACGCUGAUGCACGAAAGCGUGGGGAUCAAACAGGAUUAGAUACCCUUGUAGUC